GCAUGGGAAGGGAUUUAUGGUGGGCUUUGCCAGUGAUCCCCUCAUAGUGUCACCCAUGCUGGAGAGAAGCGCUGCUCCGAACCAUUAGCAGGUCCCCGUAGGCCUGACCGCUGAAGUGAGCUGCACAUAG
This is a small nucleolar RNA of Pseudophryne corroboree (corroboree frog), 130 nucleotides long. RefSeq annotates it as small nucleolar RNA SNORA42/SNORA80 family. The transcript has a single exon. The record is from RefSeq and is a predicted model, not a curated record. NCBI's taxonomy places the organism in Eukaryota, Metazoa, Chordata, Amphibia, Anura, Myobatrachidae.